AAGUCGUAACAAGGUAACCGUAGGUGAACCUGCGGUUGGAUCAUUACCAAUUCAAAGGGGUUUCUCUCUUUCUCUCUCUCUAUCGCAAGACUGAGAGGAGACUGAGCUAACCCUGGGUAAUAACAAUCCCUAAAACCCCUGUGUGAACUGUUUGCCUCUGAUCUGUUUGUCUCUCUCUUGUUAUUUUCCCUUUCGAAAAGAGAAGAGAGAGGCUUUGGAUCCAGAGGUGUUUGCGGGUUUUCCAAAGAGACUUUGAAAAAAGUCUUCGAUGGGGAGCUCGUGACAAAACACCUUUUAAACUUAUAAACCAUAUAUUGUCUGAAUAUCAUAAAGUACAGAUGCUUGCAUCGAAAGAUGUCUUCUGCGACUUUCAAAAUACUCAAACAACUUUUGGCAACGGAUCUCUUGGCUCUC
This 414-nucleotide unclassified non-coding RNA is filed under the name air metagenome. Its description in RNAcentral is "partial contains small subunit ribosomal RNA, internal transcribed spacer 1, and 5.8S ribosomal RNA". The stretch from base 1 to 46 matches the Rfam family "Eukaryotic small subunit ribosomal RNA", at positions 1786 to 1831 of the family's 1831-position model. The record is from RNAcentral.